RNAcentral lists this long non-coding RNA (425 nucleotides) under Setaria italica (foxtail millet). RNAcentral's name for it is "long non-coding RNA (SITA_LNC000031)". Lineage: Eukaryota; Viridiplantae; Streptophyta; Magnoliopsida; Poales; Poaceae. The record is from RNAcentral.
AAAAACAAUGCCACAGUGGCCAAUAAAUACACAGACAGUAUCAUAGUACAACAUACACCUUUGGUGAGACGCCGGCUCCGUAUGAACAGCUCAAUUUUUCUUUAAUAUCCUCUAGACCCGGUUUCUUGUACUCAUGCCUAAUUAAGGUGGUGAUGGCGAAGGUGAGGAUGGCGGCUUGAGAUCCGGAUACUGCACGCGGAUGAAAGAAUGAUGAGCGUGGCCUGAUGAAUCAAGUGCUUUUUUACAAAUGGCAAUGGAGUUUUAGAUGUGUACUUACAUUAGGGUAUGGUGACAGAGGUCUGGGGCGGGCAGGAGGUGCCGAGUUGACCGACGCCGGGGCUUCAGUGGCGGUGCUCUCAACCUUCACCUCGGCUUCAGCCUCCGCAGAGGGUGCUGAAGGGGGUGUUGGUGGUUUGAGAUCUGGG